RNAcentral lists this ribosomal RNA (520 nucleotides) under uncultured Glomus. RNAcentral's name for it is "SSU rRNA". It matches the Rfam family "Eukaryotic small subunit ribosomal RNA", at positions 569 to 1094 of the family's 1831-position model. The record is from RNAcentral. Lineage: Eukaryota; Fungi; Glomeromycota; Glomeromycetes; Glomerales; Glomeraceae.
AGCAGCCGCGGUAAUUCCAGCUCCAAUAGCGUAUAUUAAAGUUGUUGCAGUUAAAAAGCUCGUAGUUGAAUUUCGGGACUAAUAUGUCGGUCGUACUUUGUACGUACUAGCACUAUUGGUUUCUCCCUUCUGACGAACCACGAUGUCAUUAAUUUGGUGUCAUGGGAAAUCAGGACUGUUACUUUGAAAAAAUUGAGUGUUUAAGGCAAGCUCGCGCUUGAAUACAUUAGCAUGGAAUAAUGAAAUAGGACGUUUGAUUCUAUUUUGUUGGUUUCUAGGAUCGACGUAAUGAUUAAUAGGGAUAGUUGGGGGCAUUAGUAUUCAAUUGUCAGAGGUGAAAUUCUUGGAUUUAUUGAAGACUAACUACUGCGAAAGCAUUUGCCAAGGAUGUUUUCAUUAAUCAAGAACGAAAGUUAGGGGAUCGAAGACGAUCAGAUACCGUCGUAGUCUUAACCAUAAACUAUGCCGACUAGGGAUCGGAUGAUGUAAUUUUUAAUGUACUCAUUCGGCGCCUUACGGG